AAAUCCACGCCACUCUGUGAAUUACCGUCUCUUGUUUAUUAAGAAUCUCGUGGCGAAAGAAUGCCAAAAAUCCACGCCACUAUUUGAAUUACCGUCUCUUGUUUAUUAAGAAUCUCGUGGCGAAAGAAUGCCAAAAAUCCACGCCACUCUGUGAAUUACCGUCUCUUGUUUAUUAAGUUAAACUUCCAAUAAUCCCUGCUCUGACCUAGAGGUUUUGGACGCCAAAAUUGACCGUCUGUUAGGAAAGAGAGAUGGAGAGAUGUUUGAAUGUGGAAAGGGCAAAACAGAUCAGCCUGCCUGGGUAUGAAGAAUUACAUAAUUCCUUGAACGCGGAAAAAUGAUAAAUUCAUGUGAUUACUAAUAAGGGAAUUCAAAAAAAAAGUAAAGCUUUGAAUGUAGUUUUAGUGAACGCUAAUACCUGUCACAUUUAAAAGACCGUCACAUUUUAUAGACUAUAUAUGGGCAUAAACUUCAUUUUUACGACGUAAUGUAUGACAAGUCGUGUUUGCUAAAUUUCUCUAAUUUUAAUGAAUAACAUGUACUAAGGAAACUUAUAGUUUUGACAAUGGUUUGCCCUGUCAGAAUUGAAUACGCGUGUAUGCUAAUAAAUAACGACGAACAUGUUUGAGAGAAACUUUUAAGUGAAUAGCUCGAGGAAGUAGAACGCCUCGAGAAAAACAUCAAUGAAUUAAGAUUCUUAUAUGGGAAAGACAACAAUUAAAGAUUUUUGAUAAA
This is a long non-coding RNA of Xenia sp. Carnegie-2017, 735 nucleotides long. RefSeq lists it as uncharacterized. The record is from RefSeq and is a predicted model, not a curated record. The transcript has 4 exons. Lineage: Eukaryota; Metazoa; Cnidaria; Anthozoa; Malacalcyonacea; Xeniidae.